UACGAAGGGGGCAAGCGUUGUUCGGAAUCACUGGGCGUAAAGCGUGCGCAGGCGGGACAUUAAGUCAGGGGUGAAAUCCCGGGGCUCAACCUCGGAAUUGCCUUUGAUACUGGUGUCCUAGAGUUCGUGAGAGGGGUAUGGAAUUCCUAGUGUAGCGGUGAAAUGCGUAGAUAUUAGGAGGAACACCAGUGGCGAAGGCGAUACCCUGGCGCGAUACUGAGGCUCAUGCACGAAAGCGUGGGGAGCAUACAGG
This 253-nucleotide ribosomal RNA is filed under the name uncultured bacterium. Its description in RNAcentral is "partial 16S ribosomal RNA". It matches the Rfam family "Bacterial small subunit ribosomal RNA", at positions 524 to 776 of the family's 1533-position model. The record is from RNAcentral.